AACGAACGCUGGCGGCGUGCCUAACACAUGCAAGUCGUGCGAGAAAGUUCCUUCGGGAGCGAGUAAAGCGGCGCACGGGUGAGUAACACGUAGGUAACCUGCCCCCCAGUCUGGAACAACUAGAGGAAACUCUAGCUAAUGCCGGAUGAGACCACGAUCCCUUCGGGGGUUGCGGCCAAAGAUGGCCUCUACUUGUAAGCUAUCGCUGAGGGAUGGGCCUGCGGGCCAUUAGCUUGUUGGUGAGGUAACGGCUCACCAAGGCUGUGAUGGCUAGCUGGUCUGAGAGGAUGACCAGCCACACUGGGACUGAGACACGGCCCAGACUCCUACGGGAGGCAGCAGUGGGGAAUAUUGCGCAAUGGGCGAAGCCUGACGCAGCGACGCCGCGUGGGUGAUGAA
RNAcentral lists this ribosomal RNA (399 nucleotides) under uncultured bacterium. RNAcentral describes it as "bacterial SSU rRNA". It matches the Rfam family "Bacterial small subunit ribosomal RNA", at positions 29 to 412 of the family's 1533-position model. The record is from RNAcentral.